CCUACGGGUGGCAGCAGUAGGGAAUAUUGGUCAAUGGGCGAAAGUCUGACGCAGCAACGUCGCGUGAACGAUGACUGCCCUGUGGGUUAUAGACUUCUUUUAUAUGGGGAUACAAUGUUCCACGUAUGGAGUUUUGUCUGUACAAUAUGGAUAAGGCUCGGCUAACUCCGUGCCGGCAGCCGCGGUAAUACGGAGGAUCCGAGCGUUAUCCGGAUUUAUUGGGUGUAAAGGGAGCGUAGGUGGAUUGUUAAGUCAGUUGUGAAAGUUUGAGGCUCAACCGUAAAAUUGCAGUGGAAACUGGCAGGCUUGAGUACAGUAGAGGUGGGGGGAAUUCGUGGUGUAGCGGUGAAAUGCUUAGAUAUCACGAAGAACUCCGAUGGCGAAGGCAGCUCACUGGACUGUAACUGACACUGAGGCUCGAAAGUGUGGGUAGCAAACAGGAUUAGAUACCCCUGUAGUC
This 460-nucleotide ribosomal RNA is filed under the name uncultured bacterium. RNAcentral describes it as "partial 16S ribosomal RNA". It matches the Rfam family "Bacterial small subunit ribosomal RNA", at positions 338 to 795 of the family's 1533-position model. The record is from RNAcentral.